CCUACGGUCUCAGCAGUGGGGAAUAUUGGACAAUGGGCGAAAGCCUGAUCCAGCCAUGCCGCGUGUGUGAAGAAGGCCUUCGGGUUGUAAAGCACUUUCAGUGGGGAAGAAAGCCUUGGGGCUAAUACCCUCGAGGAAGGACAUCACCCACAGAAGAAGCACCGGCUAACUCCGUGCCAGCAGCCGCGGUAAUACGGAGGGUGCGAGCGUUAAUCGGAAUUACUGGGCGUAAAGCGCGCGUAGGCGGUCUGAUAAGCCGGUUGUGAAAGCCCCGGGCUCAACCUGGGAACGGCAUCCGGAACUGUCAGGCUAGAGUGCAGGAGAGGAAGGUAGAAUUCCCGGUGUAGCGGUGAAAUGCGUAGAGAUCGGGAGGAAUACCAGUGGCGAAGGCGGCCUUCUGGACUGACACUGACGCUGAGGUGCGAAAGCGUGGGUAGCAAACAGGAUUAGAUACCCCAGUAGUC
RNAcentral lists this ribosomal RNA (464 nucleotides) under Vreelandella stevensii. RNAcentral describes it as "partial 16S ribosomal RNA". It matches the Rfam family "Bacterial small subunit ribosomal RNA", at positions 338 to 795 of the family's 1533-position model. The record is from RNAcentral. Lineage: Bacteria; Pseudomonadati; Pseudomonadota; Gammaproteobacteria; Oceanospirillales; Halomonadaceae.